This is a long non-coding RNA of Bombus huntii, 2920 nucleotides long. RefSeq lists it as uncharacterized. NCBI's taxonomy places the organism in Eukaryota, Metazoa, Arthropoda, Insecta, Hymenoptera, Apidae. The record is from RefSeq and is a predicted model, not a curated record. The transcript is spliced from 2 exons.
CAUAUAAUCGACGAAUCUUCUGUUAGUCUCGAGAUAGUAAGUCUCCAUCGAUAAUAAGUUUUUAACGACAUUCGAUUGAACAAAACGUAUAGUGUAAGGGCUCGUCUUCGCUGAAGCACCAUCGAGCAAUCUCUUGUCGCUGUUCCAAGUUUCUUGAAAAAGUCGCCGCAUGUUGCUUCAGUGCAGACGAGUUCUGAGAAAAGAUUCCUUGAAAAAUUCGACGAUAACUUUAGGAAAACGAUUCAACGUGUCGUUGGCUACGUACCCUAAUCCAAACAUCUCUCAAAGGGUGUUAAUUAUUCAUCGUUCAUGACGUGGCCAUGGAAUAUUUAAAGAUAUUGAUCCAGAAAAACGUUUCCAAUCGUUCGAUAAAACUAAUGCUUAUCUAAUAGAUAUGGUUUUCCACGAAUCUGUAUAAAGAUCUAUCGAAUGGGUUCACGAUUGUUUCGAUAUCGUGAAAGCUGAGAUACUUAGCAACGGUGAAAAGGAAAUGGGAGAAAGGAACCAAACGGUAUUUCAUGUCUUAAGUAUUUAAUUACGAUAGCAAUAUCGACAAGAGAAAGGGAAAAAUGAUCGAAAUGAUAAUUUUUGAUCGCGUUUAACAAUGAUAUCCUUCGCUGUGGAACCGGUUCGGAAUUCCGAGAUAAAAUCAAUUUAGAUUAGACCGUGAAUCGACGUGAAUCGCGUUUAAUACGUUUAAUUAUCAUGUCUUCUAUUGUUUAAUAUCAGAGUCGUUCAUCGAUUAUCGUUGACAAAAUUCACAUACAAUGGCUACUUUCUAAUGAAGUGUUCCUCUUUUUUCUUUUAUCACAUUCUACAUUUCGCUUUCAUGGUAUGAAAUUUUGGUAGUCGUAUGAAAGUAUGUACCAUUAAAUAAUACUGAUCGUAACUUUAAUAUACUUGAAACUAAUUAAUUAAUAUGUCGAUGGCAUACUGCACAAAUAUUGUUUGUCCAUUUUUAACGUUUUCUAGAAAAUCAGUCUUAAACAAUAAAUAAAUAUUUUAAAUAGAAUAAAUUAAAUAAAAUUGGUUGCAAAUCGUACAUUGAUGCUUCUUAGGGAUAUAAAAUGAUCACAAUGGAUCAUGCUCGUUGAAAGUAUCUUUAUAUAGGUACACUGUGUGCAGUAAACAAAGUUAUUGUUUUCGACAAACUUAUGAAGUGGAUAUAAUAAUUUUUAUACAGAAUAACGAAAAUAUCUAAAGACUGAAAUUUCACAAGAAGCAAACGCAAUUUAUGCAAUAUAAUGAUAAUGAGAUAAUAUUAAUGUUCGAGUAAUUUAUCAAUAUAUUGUAGUAUCAUGUGUGUAGUAUGUAUGUAGUAUAUUGUAGUAGAAUAUCCAUGAUACUGUAACGUAUUAUUCUAGGUGAAUCUUUAAAGUAAACUGAUAAUUUUAAGACCGUUCGUACGCUAUUCGCACAAACUAUUCUAUCUGUAUUAUAAUUAAAUAAUAAUUUAAUAAUAAUAAUUCUAUCGUUAUAACUAGACUGUGGAUUUUUAUGCAAAUUCAUAUUUUUGAGAAUAUAAUGAAAAAUGUAAAUUUGCCUGCCAACUGUUAUAGAAGGCGCUAUACUUUGCAUAUUUUAUUUUUCAUAUUAUCUGCAUUCUGUUCGAUUUUGCACUUUUACAUUUCCUAUAAAUGCAUAAAAUCGGCAGUGUAGUUGUAAUAAUAUAAACACUUAAAGGUGUUAAAAAUCGUUCGCCAACUGUCCUGAACAAAAAUUCAUAUAUUUAAGAAGAUUAAAAGACGAACAGGAUGAUGGAAAGCAUACACUAUAUCCUAUUGCGAUCUGUUAGGGAAUUCGCCAUUGCUAAAAUAUGGUUGCAUAUAACAGCUGCGAAGGAAACGACGCAAUACGUAAUCGUACGAACAACGAUGAAUCACUUGGUGUUGCACUUUCCUCUCCCAACGAUAAUCGAGUUUCCUGGCCGUAAGAGAUCGUAUAUCCUAAGCAAAGAGAAUAAAAAACGCAACAAACCGAGAUUGUUGCGUGCGAUUUCGGAAGUGGCGAGAAGAUUCCUUUUGAAGAAACGUUAGGAGCAGUGCGAUACGCAUUUGCCAGCUCGUGUCAAGUCUGCACGUGCGGCUCAACUUGCGCCAAAUGUGCCUGCGUGUUCUACCACCUUGUGUGUACGACGCGCGCACCUAAUGAGUUAGUAUUGUCAAUAUCCUCCACCGAACUCGAAUUGCGUAAACAGCCGAUCGGAUAUAAAAGAUACGAGGCAUUGGCCGGCCGCGGCGCGGCGCGGCGGUAGGUGCUAUCGCCAAGCUGAAAUCGUUUCGUGCAACCAUCGAUAAAAGAGAAAAUAUAACGUAUUCAAAUAAUAUGGAAAUACUUUCAAAUAUGCAAGGGAAAGUGAAGGAGAAGCGAACUAAAAGUGAGAGAGCAUGUAUCGCGAAAUGAAAAAUUCCACGGCGAACGAAACUAGAGUCAGGAUCACGUGACGAAUGCGUAAAUAGGAGGCAGUUUGUUCGAUGCGUAUGCUACCGUUUCUAUCGCACUCAUUGUCAGUGGCACGUGCUGCUACUACUGAAAACCAUUAACGGCAGUGUAGUCGUUUCCCAGGCUUUUGUCCCCGCAUUCUCAAAAGAGGUGGUUUGGACGGUAAUUGGACGAGGUUUUUUUUAGAAACAAGUUGAUAUAAAAGAAAAGACUCGCAACUAAUUAGCGUCGCACGAAGGAAACGCAGUAUCCAAUUUUAUUGGAUAAGAAAAUACAAAUAAAACAGCUUCGUCCAAAAACGUAUAAUUUGUAAUUCACCGAUGGAAAGUUGGAUCGUGUGGUUUCCUAUAAUUAACGCGAUCUUCCAUUUACAAUUUACAUUACGUAUUGUGGCUUAUUACAAUUAAUGAUUGUCUGUAUUAAUAUUUCUGUAAUCUUUAGAAAAUGUGUGCUUUCAAUAAAUAUCUUGUAACCUCCA